UUGAAAUGGUUGUUGUUGCUGUUGUUGUUGUGCAGGUUGAUUAUCAGCAGUAAUCGUUACUGCAGCAGUAUGCUGGUAGUAAUGAUUUCUACCGUGUCCUUUCUGGGCAUACACAACACUCGAAUCACCCUCUUUCUUGCGCUGACCAUUACCAAAGGGCUUCUUUACUCCAGACGACGGAGCAUUUCCCUGUAUUUUCCCCAUUCUCAGCCAACUUUCA
RNAcentral lists this long non-coding RNA (220 nucleotides) under Lathyrus oleraceus (garden pea). RNAcentral's name for it is "Pisum sativum (pea) long non-coding RNA (PSAT_LNC034239)". Lineage: Eukaryota; Viridiplantae; Streptophyta; Magnoliopsida; Fabales; Fabaceae. The record is from RNAcentral.